UACGAACUGUGCAAACGUUAUUCGGAAUCACUGGGCUUAAAGGGUGCGUAGGCGGCGAUAAAGGUCAGGUGUGAAAUCCCACGGCUCAACCGUGGAACUGCGCUUGAAACCAUAUUGCUUGAGGGAGUCAGAGGUAAGCGGAACUGUUGGUGGAGCGGUGAAAUGCGUAGAUAUCAACAGGAACACCGGUGGCGAAAGCGGCUUACUGGGACUUUUCUGACGCUGAUGCACGAAAGCCAGGGGAGCAAACGGG
RNAcentral lists this ribosomal RNA (253 nucleotides) under uncultured bacterium. RNAcentral's name for it is "partial 16S ribosomal RNA". It matches the Rfam family "Bacterial small subunit ribosomal RNA", at positions 524 to 776 of the family's 1533-position model. The record is from RNAcentral.